This 28-nucleotide non-coding RNA is filed under the name Macaca fascicularis (crab-eating macaque). Lineage: Eukaryota; Metazoa; Chordata; Mammalia; Primates; Cercopithecidae. RNAcentral also lists the same sequence under 1 other name. The record is from RNAcentral.
UCAGCAGUAGCUAAUGUGGGAUGAUGAU